This 242-nucleotide ribosomal RNA is filed under the name uncultured bacterium. Its description in RNAcentral is "partial 16S ribosomal RNA". It matches the Rfam family "Bacterial small subunit ribosomal RNA", at positions 1258 to 1500 of the family's 1533-position model. The record is from RNAcentral.
UGAUAUAGAGCAAAACCCUAAAAGCAACCUCAGUUCGGAUUGAAGGCUGAAAUUCGCCUUCAUGAAGCUGGAAUUGCUAGUAAUGGCAGGUCAGCAUACUGCCGUGAAUACGUUCCCGGGCCUUGUACACACCGCCCGUCAAACCAUGAGAGUUGGCAACACCCGAAGUCGGUAGUCUAACCGCAAGGAGGACGCCGCCGAAGGUGGGGUUGAUGAUUAGGGUUAAGUCGUAACAAGGUACC